AACGCGAAGAACCUUACCAGGUCUUGACAUCCCUCUGAAUCUGUUAGAGAUAGCAGCGGCCUUCGGGACAGAGGAGACAGGUGGUGCAUGGUUGUCGUCAGCUCGUGUCGUGAGAUGUUGGGUUAAGUCCCGCAACGAGCGCAACCCUUAACUUUAGUUGCCAGCAGGUCAAGCUGGGCACUCUAGAGUGACUGCCGGUGACAAACCGGAGGAAGGUGGGGAUGACGUCAAAUCAUCAUGCCCCUUAUGACCUGGGCUACACACGUACUACAAUGGUCGGUACAACGGGCUGCGAAACCGCGAGGUGGAGCCAAUCCCAACAAAGCCGAUCUCAGUUCGGAUUGCAGGCUGCAACUCGCCUGCAUGAAGUCGGAAUUGCUAGUAAUCGCGGAUCAGCAUGCCGCGGUGAAUACGUUCCCGGGCCUUGUACACACCGGAGUGC
This 442-nucleotide ribosomal RNA is filed under the name uncultured bacterium. RNAcentral describes it as "bacterial SSU rRNA". It matches the Rfam family "Bacterial small subunit ribosomal RNA", at positions 958 to 1398 of the family's 1533-position model. The record is from RNAcentral.